UACCCUGAUGAUAAUCUUUGUUGCUUGACUCCUGAGAGCACGAUUUCUCAAAGACUACAACGGUAUCUGAGU
This 72-nucleotide small nucleolar RNA is filed under the name Ogataea parapolymorpha DL-1. RNAcentral describes it as "Small nucleolar RNA snR79". It matches the Rfam family "Small nucleolar RNA snR79". The record is from Rfam by way of RNAcentral. Lineage: Eukaryota; Fungi; Ascomycota; Pichiomycetes; Pichiales; Pichiaceae.